UACAGAGGGGGCAAGCGUUGUUCGGAAUUACUGGGCGUAAAGGGCGCGUAGGCGGCCGCCUAAGUCAGACGUGAAAUCCCUCGGCUCAACCGGGGAACUGCGUCUGAUACUGGGUGGCUUGAAUCCGGGAGAGGGAUGCGGAAUUCCAGGUGUAGCGGUGAAAUGCGUAGAUAUCUGAAGGAACAUCAGUGGCGAAAGCGACUUCCUGGACCAAUACUGACGCUCAUGUGCGAAAGCGUGGGGAGCAAACAGG
This 253-nucleotide ribosomal RNA is filed under the name uncultured bacterium. RNAcentral describes it as "partial 16S ribosomal RNA". It matches the Rfam family "Bacterial small subunit ribosomal RNA", at positions 524 to 776 of the family's 1533-position model. The record is from RNAcentral.